AGUUUACUUAACAGAUUCCUUCGGGAUGACGUUUUUUAAACUUAGUGGCGGACGGGUGAGUAACGCGUGGGUAACCUGCCUUACACAGGGGGAUAGCAGUUGGAAACGACUGGUAAUACCGCAUACCUUACAUUAUUCGCAUGUUUGAUGUAAGAAAGAUACUAUCGGUGUAAGAUGGACCCGCGUCUGAUUAGCUAGUUGGUGUGGUAACGGCAUACCAAGGCGACGAUCAGUAGCCGGCCUGAGAGGGUGAACGGCCACAUUGGGACUGAGACACGGCCCAGACUCC
This 289-nucleotide ribosomal RNA is filed under the name uncultured Eubacteriales bacterium. RNAcentral's name for it is "uncultured Clostridiales bacterium partial 16S ribosomal RNA". The stretch from base 50 to 289 matches the Rfam family "Bacterial small subunit ribosomal RNA", at positions 100 to 339 of the family's 1533-position model. Lineage: Bacteria; Bacillati; Bacillota; Clostridia; Eubacteriales. The record is from RNAcentral.